Molecule: transfer RNA, 94 nt
Filed under: Ephemerocybe angulata
Lineage: Eukaryota; Fungi; Basidiomycota; Agaricomycetes; Agaricales; Psathyrellaceae
Description: Coprinellus angulatus tRNA
Rfam family: tRNA
About the family: Transfer RNA (tRNA) molecules are approximately 80 nucleotides in length. Their secondary structure includes four short double-helical elements and three loops (D, anti-codon, and T loops).
Source: Rfam by way of RNAcentral
CUCACUUUAGCUCAGCUGGAAGAGCAUGAGACUGUAAUUGGUUAUGCUGACUAAGCAAAUCUCAGGGUCGCCUGUUCGAGCCAGGCAAGUGAGA